Long non-coding RNA from Nematolebias whitei (Rio pearlfish), 286 nucleotides. RefSeq lists it as uncharacterized. The transcript is spliced from 3 exons. The record is from RefSeq and is a predicted model, not a curated record. Lineage: Eukaryota; Metazoa; Chordata; Actinopteri; Cyprinodontiformes; Rivulidae.
GUUUUAAAUUUGGCAGGAAGAUCAACUAUGUGAGUUACCUGAGUGAGCUGGAGGCCGUGGUGAAGUGUGACCAGCUGAUGAUUCCUGCCCGAGUCAGAGAGUAUGACAACAAACUGAGAGCAUCUUUGAAACCCAGCGCCCAACCCCCAACCUCUCCUCCUCGGAGCCCCCCUCUCCCAAACCAGGUGUUUGGGGUUCCACUCGCACUGCUGAGACAGAGGGAUCCAGAUGGUGAUCCAGUUCCUGUGGUGAUGAGGGACACUGUCAGCUUCCUGUCAGAACAAGG